AACUCACAGCUCUCAGUAUAAAGUCUGAAUCAUGAAAAACGAACUCAUCUGAUUUUUAAUGAAAAAUGAAUAAAACUAUGUUAAAUAUACUUCCCUCUGCCUUGUCAUUGGUCACUGUAACAGGCCCGCCCCGGAAGUGUUUGUUGAAGAAGAAGAAGAAGAAGAAGAAGAAGAAGAAGAAGAAGAAGAAGAAGAAGAAGAAGAAGAAGAAGAAGAAGAAGAAGAAGAAGAAGAAGAAGAAGAAGAAAAUAAGUCGGAGACCGUUUACCGGCUACCGGCGGGGCUUCAUCGGGAACACGUGCUCCCUGAAGCCGGACUCCGGUCAGAAAACCGCUGAAGGAGCGGAACAUCCAGGUUCUUUUUGUCCUGCAGGUCUGAUGGAGGUCGACAUCCUGGAGUUCAAAGUCCCCGUAGAGAACCACAAGACCCUGUUUGUGUGGGACAUCCAACCGGAUCACACGGAGGCCCAGGUCUACGCUGGACUGCUGGACGUGUUCUCGUCCUUCGGGCCGCUCCACCUGCUGAAGGUGUGUCCUAACUCCGCCCUCCACCCUCCGGGGUUCUACGCCCUCAUCAGGUUCUACUCGGCCUCUCAGGCCUCAGAGGCUCAGCGCCACACUGACGGACGCCCGCUGAUCCAGAACCUUCCACUCAAGGUAAGGCUGAGCUCCAAACACACUCACUACCUGUCUGACAAUGGCAGACCUCUGAGCCACGCCCACUGCCUGGAACUGGCCAAUCACUACUUGGGAUUCAACGGCUGGACCUUUGACAUCAUCACACUGAAGGAGCUCCCCAACUUCGAGGAGGAGACGCAGCAGGAGGAAGAAAGCAGAUGGAGGAGACUGAAGUUUGGCUGUAUGCUGCAGCUCUCCUUCCCUCAUCACGGCCUGACGACCAGAGGAGCAGCAAUGGUGGAGGACGGCUUCACCUGCACAGGUAGGACGGAGAGAGGUGAGGACGGCUUCACCCGGAGAGGUGAGGACGGAGAGAGGUAGGACGGCUUCACCCGGAGAGGUGAGGACGGCUUCACCUGGAGAGGUGAGGACGGAGAGAGGUGAGGACGGCUUCACCCCGAGAGGUGAGGACGGCUUCACCCGGAGAGGUGAGGACGGAGAGAGGUGAGGACGGCUUCACCUGGAGAGAGGUGAGUCCGUCUGUCGUGAAGACGAUGGACCAGAACCCCGUCUCCAGGAAGUUAAAGACAUUGUCCUUGUGGUCUCUGCAGGUCCAGAUGUUCUGCUCCAGAACCGUAGAAAACUCCAGAAGAGGGUCAGAGAGAAAGCUCUGGUCCAGGCCUUCUCCUCAGUACUGCUCAUACUACUAGGUGACGGUAGAGUGAUGGUGGAGCU
Molecule: RNA transcript, 1352 nt
Organism: Cyclopterus lumpus (lumpfish)
Lineage: Eukaryota; Metazoa; Chordata; Actinopteri; Perciformes; Cyclopteridae
Gene: rdm1
Gene name: RAD52 motif containing 1
Exons: 7
Source: RefSeq, a predicted model, not a curated record